Molecule: long non-coding RNA, 347 nt
Filed under: Brassica napus (rape)
Lineage: Eukaryota; Viridiplantae; Streptophyta; Magnoliopsida; Brassicales; Brassicaceae
Description: long non-coding RNA (BNAP_LNC007842)
Source: RNAcentral
AUACGUUAAUCAUAUUAGGCAAUUCCGUAGAUUUUAUUUAAGGAAAGUGCGAGAAUAUUCUUUUGUACACUAUUUAUCAAUUUAAUAGUUAGUUUAAUAAAAAGUAUAGUAUAAGUUAAGAUGGACCAACCUAUUUUUUAAAAAUUCUGAAUUUCAUUCUCAUGGUGACACGUGGAUACAAAACAAUGUUGUAAUGUUUCUCAAUUAAUAUAUAAGGGAUUUUAGCAAAAAAGUCCUCUUAAUAACAUGGCGGCAAAUGAGAAGUUUGGUUCUUCGAACUUGAGACAAAAACUACAACUAAGCAUUGAACUAUAGUCAUGAAUAAAGAUGGAUGAGAAUACCAACAC